AACUGAUACUACCUGCGGGAACCUGCGGAGGGAUCAUUACCGAGUUUUCAACUCCCUAACCCUUCUGUGAACCUACCUAUCGUUGCUUCGGCGGACUCGCCCCAGCCCGGACGCGGACUGGACCAGCGGCCCGCCGGGGACCUCAAACUCUUGUAUUCCAGCAUCUUCUGAAUACGCCGCAAGGCAAAACAAAUGAAUCAAAACUUUUAGCAACGGAUCUCUAGAUCGGAAGAGCACACG
Molecule: unclassified non-coding RNA, 240 nt
Filed under: soil metagenome
Description: partial contains 5.8S ribosomal RNA, internal transcribed spacer 2, and large subunit ribosomal RNA
Source: RNAcentral